Salvia splendens (bonfire salvia) is the source of this 1131-nucleotide long non-coding RNA. RefSeq lists it as uncharacterized. The record is from RefSeq and is a predicted model, not a curated record. NCBI's taxonomy places the organism in Eukaryota, Viridiplantae, Streptophyta, Magnoliopsida, Lamiales, Lamiaceae. The transcript is spliced from 5 exons.
UUAGUUUAUUUUACCGACGAGGAAUUCCGUGGGUAAAGCUAUUUUUUUAAAUAGCUUAUUAUUUUAUAAAAAGCUAUUUUCCGAGGGGUUGUGUGCCCUCGGAAAUCUGAAAUUUAAUUUCACGGGUUUAUUUAACUUUUUUACUUUUCUUUUCAACCCAAGCCCUCAUUUUACCGCUUUUCUCUCUUUCUCCUCGAUUCCGUGGAACCCGUCGCCGACUGAGAAGGAUCUCGUGGGGCGUCCCCGGUGGAAGAGAACUCUGGAGGAAGAUUCGUGGAGCGUCUCUGGCGGAAGAUUCCUGAUCUCUCACUUGAUCAUUAGCAUGCAUGGGUUCAAAAAGAUCGAAGCUCCGAAGGCAUGACUACUACACUCAGUUCUACUGUCACCUUCUAAAUUGCGGCCGAGCCUGCUAGACGGCGUAUCAGGUGAUCCCUUCUUAACCCUGAAGGAAGUGAGAGACGACCUCAAAUCUCACAGCUAGAAGGACUGCCACUUCUCAUCUCUUCUCACCUACAGCGCCGCAGUAUUUACAGAUGAUCUUUUGAGGAAAAAUAAGAAAAUAUGGUUCAAGCUCUUCAAAAUCUGAAUAGAUCACUUAACAAGCCGAUGCAGCUGGGCUUUGGAAAGAAGAGUGUGGACACCCUUGUGCAGAAACUCUGGACUUAAUUCUUCUUACAGAUUGACUAUACUAACUUCUUAUUGUAUAUAGAUGAUGUUCUCGGAGGCAAGCUCGAUAAGAAAAAGAGGUUGAUAGGGAUGAGGAACUUUGCAAAACACCUCAUGGGUAACAACUCGAUACAAAAUGUAGGAGGGAUUGGUCAUCACGCCUCAGCCUGCCUGGAUCCUUCCUUGCGAGACCAAAUACGAGAUGAAGUGUGCCAAGAAUUGUGGUGCCAAAUGCAGCAAGAAUGACUUGAGCAAAAAAUGGGAGAUGGGAAGGAUGAUAAAGCAGUUUAUGACGUCCAAGCAACCCCAACAAUCAAGUCACACUCUUGCUGAUGAUUCUUGCAUAGAAUUGAUACGUCUCAUGAACUUAUUUCAAAACCCGAUACUUUAUGUUUCUUUUUGCUUUGUGCGUUGGUUGUGUAAUACUUUUGAGGUUUAUAUAUCAUGAUUUGAUUUUAUUGGUAA